CGGAGGGCGCCACGAAACAAGAGGCUUGGAGGCAAACAAGGAGAGAGAUGACAACCGCCCGCGCGCGCGCACGCCAGAAACGAGUUCCACCCAUAAAUAGAUACUCGUCUCCCUCCUCCGCCUGCGAUCCUCCUCCCUGCCCCAUUUCUCUCCUUCCUCCACCCACCCGGCUUUCGUUUCUUGGAAGCGAGAGGAGGGACGGGGAGGGAGAGGGGGCGGAGGGCGCCGGUGAGCUUUGCCAGGGAAGCUGCUUGCGUGGGGCUUUGCACGGCCGGGCCCCGCCCACGCUUCCCUCUUGCUCACUCACUCCCACCAACGCUCGCCUCUCACCUACUCUCUCUCUCUCUUAUCUCCUUCCAAGAUCCCUUUUUCCCUUUCGUCUUUGCUAGGACCAUUCUUUGAUCUUUCCUUGGCUCCAAAUACUCCCGUUCCAGCUGCGGAGAUCCCACCUCGGUUCCCUCCCGUCGGAGUAAUCUUAGCUCGAAUUUGACUUGUUUCUUGCUCUUCUUUUUUGUGGCUGCUCAGUUGGUGCGCGUCUCCGCUUCAAUCCGAGAACAACCCCCGCUCGGCAACAAGUGUCCCCCUUCUUCUCCGGGCUUCGAUUCGAUCGAAUCCCACCCAAUAUUUUUCUAACCCUUUCUGAAGUGGGUUCCAUCGCCUAGCUUUCUCCGAUCGGCCGGAGAAAGCAGCUGAGUUAGUGGUUGAUGCGGCUGUGGUCGUAGAGGCGGCAGCAUCUCAUCUCUCUUUCUUCCACUGGGUCUGGGUCUGGGUGGCUUGCGUUGUUUAUUUGCGAGGAGCACUGUGCAGUCGCAGUGCUCCACGGCUCGCUUCUUUGCCUCUCAUCAAUGCUUGCCCUGGUCGCCACCUUCGUCUUCUCCUGCCUCCUCUUCUUGUCCAAGCCAUGCGCCCGUGACAUGAGACUCUUCCUCGCUUCCAUCUCCCAACAACUCGCGCUCUCGCUGCUCGGAUUCUUGGCCGGCUACAGGCUGCUCGGCGGCGUCGCCUCCACGGCCGCGGACGCCAUGCCCCUCAUGCCUUCCUUCAAGAGGAAGCGCCCGGCCGCCAAGCUGGAGACUACGGAUACGACCGGCGAGCCGUCGGUGCUCGACCUCCCGGAGCUGGCCAUCGACUGCAUUCUCGCCAAGCUGCCGCCGGCGGAGCUGCGGAACAUGGCCGCCGUCAGCCGGUCCAUGCGGGAAAGGUGCAGGAGCGACCACCUCUGGGAGCGCCACAUGUCCGACAAGUGGGGUUCUGUCCUGGGUACCGCCGCGAGGGACGAGUGGAGGUCGUAUCUGUCCUCGUCGACCGCGGCCGGCGGCGGCGCGUCGGGGUGCGGGUCUGCUGGCAGCGGCAAGCACCGGAGGUGGCUUGCCGCGCUGUCCUGCGUCUGCCCGGUGGUGUCCUGGAUGCGGCCUAGGGCCGACGGCGGCGCCGGCACGUCCGCGGGCCCUGUGCUGGAUGAUUCCAUCAUGUCGUGGUAUCUCCACCUGGAGAGCGGCAAGUUCUGGUUCCCCGCACAGGUCUACAACCGAGAGCAUGGGCAUGUUGGGUUCAUGAUGUCAUGCUAUGAUGCAGAGCUCAGCUAUGAUUUCCGCACUGACACGUUCCACGCAAGGUAUCCACCACACGGGCGACGAACUGUAGUCUUGGAAGAUGGCGUGCAAUGGGACAGGAUCAGGGCACCUCGGGUCGAAACUCUUGCACAUGACCUGCAUGCCUCUGACUGCUUACAUGAACUACGGCCUGGCGAUAACAUUGAGAUUCAGUGGAGAAGGAACAAGGAGUUCCCAUAUGGCUGGUGGUAUGGAGUUGUUGGCCACUUGGAAUCAUGUGAUGGAAAUGAGCACUUUUGUCGGUGUCAUCUUAGUGGUGAGAAUAGCUUUAAUCUCUAGGAUUAAUUUAUUUGACUUGACUAAUAAUUGCAAAGUUAGUUGCAUAUACAUAGGCUUUUCAGAGUCAUGACCCCAUGAACAUUCCAGCAAAGUUCAAAGAACAUUAUAAUACAACAUCAUGGCCUCAAACUCAUUUUGGUUAUCCACUUAUUAAAUGGAAAGUGUUAGUCCGAAAAUGAUGACUUCCUCUUAUGUUUGACCUUAAUUUACUUUAAAAUGAGUUGUGUAUUAUGUUUAUUCCCAUUAACUAAACUGGUUCAUCGUCUCCCCACUAAUACAUUAUGCUGGGAUACUGAUAACCUAGUUAACAUAUUUUGAACAUAGCUGACAUUAACAUUUCUGUGAGUGCUUGUUCCAUAAGAAUCCAUCCUUUUAGGUUAUGCUUGCUUUAUUACCUAUAUUGAAGAUGGUUUUAUUAUACACGAUGUGCACUUAUUCUUUAAACUUGCCACUCGGUUUAAGAUUCAACCCCAAACUUCGAAACCAGUCGAACCACACCCCAAAUAACCCCAAACUUGCCACUCAGCAGGUACAAGGAAUGCCAAAUCUGAAAUUUUCACAGAUCAUCGAGCAUACCAUGUGGACUAAUAUGACCAUAUUUGGUUGAAUAGAUUGAGAGAUUCAUCAAAAUUUCAAUUUCUGCAAUUUUGGUCAAUAAUUUGAGCGAUUUUUUCCAGAAAAUUGAGAAAAAUUUACACAACAUUAAGCAUAGCAUGUAUACUAAUCUGGGAAAUUUUCAAUAAAUUUUGCUAAACAGAUUGAGAUUCAUCAAAAAUUCAAUUCCUGCAAUUUUUUGUCACAAUUUUGACCCAGUUUUUAUCCCCCCACACACAAACCCCAAAAAAACUGAAAAUCAAACAUAGCAUCUGGACUAAUCUGAGAAAAUUUCAACAUAUUUGUCGAACAGAUUGGUAGAUUCAUCAAAUUUUGAAUUCUGCAAUUUUUGGCCAAAAUUUUGACCGAGAAAAAAGUUUUCAGAAAAUUUCACACAGCAUCAAGCAUAGCAUGUGGACUAAUCUGGGACAGUUUUCACUAUAUUUGGCUGAACAGAUUGAGCGAUUCAUCAAAAUUUUAAUCUCUGCAAUUUUUUACCAAAAAAGGUUCUCGUUUGACCUAGUGGCUUAGUUGGCAUACCCUGCUGACAUGGCACUGCUCAGUCAGCACUCAACGUGGUCAAAACCACUUCAGUGAGUCAAAACCGGGAGGGGGUUGAUUCCUGAACCGGGGGGGUUAAUUCAUGUGGAAUGUUGAGGUCAAGUAUCUUAGUUGUUAGCAGUCACUCUGCGAUGGCUAGCAUAAACACGAAAAUUGGUACUGUUAAACGGAAUGGAAGUGGAUCUCUGAACAUACAAACUCUUGUGACGAUAUAUUAUUGCAGACACCGUGGUGCUGGAGUUCAAUCAAUACACGCCUGGCUCAAGAUGGAGGCAGUCCCUGGUGAAUCGGAAGGACCACAGGGAAGAAGGCAACGAGAGUGACGGAUUCUACGGUGGAAUAAGGAAGCUCCAAGACAAGGAUGAAAUCUCAAAGUGGAAGCAGCUAUGGCCAACGGAUAUCCUGGAAUAACGUGAACUAUUUCGCUUUCGCCCUUGUGACUCCUCCCCUCAGUCAAGUUGGCUAAUUGAUAUGCCUCCCACGAUCAGCCACCCCCUCCGUUCAAGUUGUACACACGGAUAGAACACGGGGUGGCAAAUUCUGGUGGCUGGACACGGUUGUAAACUUACUGUCGGGCAAAUAAACGCAGACUGCUGCUGAUCUACGUGCAGUGUAUGUAACACCGCAGUCUGCGCCUUUUUGCCUGCUGUUGUAGUCCUAGAGCAGAAAGAUCAAAUGUAAAUUAAAAUUUAGUUCAGAUUUACGGACAGGUUUGUCGCACUUCUCUCCCUCCAUUGCUGCUUUCCCCCAUCAGGUAGCAAGUAAAACACACAGAGCAAGGAAGUAGCAGAGUUUCACUGUUGCCAACGCCUGAAC
RNAcentral lists this ribosomal RNA (3863 nucleotides) under Triticum aestivum (bread wheat). RNAcentral describes it as "partial small subunit ribosomal RNA". The record is from RNAcentral. Lineage: Eukaryota; Viridiplantae; Streptophyta; Magnoliopsida; Poales; Poaceae.